RNAcentral lists this ribosomal RNA (303 nucleotides) under uncultured bacterium. Its description in RNAcentral is "bacterial SSU rRNA". It matches the Rfam family "Bacterial small subunit ribosomal RNA", at positions 789 to 1084 of the family's 1533-position model. The record is from RNAcentral.
GGUAGUCCACGCCCUAAACGAUGCACACUAGACCGGAGCGGCUCUGACGUCGUUCUGGUCGCAGAGAAAUUGAUAAGUGUGCCGCCUGGGGAGUACGGUCGCAAGGCUAAAACUCAAAGAAAUUGACGGGGGCUCACACAAGCGGUGGAGCAUGUUGCUUAAUUCGAAGCAACGCGAAGAACCUUACCUGGGUUUGACAUGCACGGAUUAACCCCAUGAAAGUGGGGCCACACUCGCAAGAGUGGAACGUGCACAGGUGCUGCAUGGCUGUCGUCAGCUCGUGCUGUGAAGUGUCGGGUUAAG